RNAcentral lists this transfer RNA (71 nucleotides) under Amborella trichopoda. It matches the Rfam family "tRNA". Rfam says of the family: Transfer RNA (tRNA) molecules are approximately 80 nucleotides in length. The record is from Rfam by way of RNAcentral. Lineage: Eukaryota; Viridiplantae; Streptophyta; Magnoliopsida; Amborellales; Amborellaceae.
GGUGCCAUGGUCCAGCUGUUAGGACAUUGGACUCUGAAUCCAUAAUCUGAGUUUAAAUCUCAGCGGAACCU